This 870-nucleotide long non-coding RNA is filed under the name Homo sapiens (human). RNAcentral's name for it is "HSALNT0309117". Lineage: Eukaryota; Metazoa; Chordata; Mammalia; Primates; Hominidae. The record is from RNAcentral.
CAAGCUCUAACAGUGUGAGAUUCCAAUUCUACUGUGAUGUAAUAUGGUGCCUGGGAGGCAGGGUGGUGAAGGAGCUAAGUAAAUGGGCUCUGGGAUCACACCACCUGGGUCCAUUUUGAGCUCUGCCUGUUAGGUCGGGGUAGGUUCAACCCCUGUAGCACAAACACCAGAUGCAUCCUGGGAAAUACUGUUCUCUUUAAAACUGCAGGAGUGGCCCCCGUUGAGAUGGAGGUUGAACAAGCAUUUCCCUAGAGUCCUGUGGUCCAUAGCAUUGUCUGCUAAGAUGCUGGGCUGUCCUGGAGCUGCGGCUGGAGUCAGGUUCAAAUGCAGCACCCGGCAGCACACUACACAGGUGAGGACACCAUGUUCCUCUACUGUUGUGGAUGCAGCCCUCACCAGACGACCGAACCUGCCAGUGCCUUGUUCUUGGACUUCCUAGCCUUCAGAACUGCCAGAAUCCUGCUAGGACAUCUCUGCCUGUGGAAGGAGGGCUGGAUGGCAUACUGGGAAUGGCUUUCUAGGAUGACUUCCUGUUGCUACAGACUACAAGAAGCAUUUCUGGCCUUGAUGUUGUCUGAAUGAAGAAGACAUAGGAGUUUCACCAAAGCCUACAGGAAUGAGGAAGCAGGAAGGGCCAGAGUGAAGUGGAAACUUUGAACUUGAAGUUGGAAGACACUGGUACUCAUCUCUUCUAUUUGCUAGCUGUAUGAUCUUGGGCAACUUAUUUAAUUUAUCUUCCUCCAGUUUACUCAUUGAUUAAAUGAAGGUAACAAUUUUAUCUCAUAGGGAUAUGGGGAUGAUCGAGAGAGAUAAUAAAAGUGAAAGUGUUUUGAAAAGCAUAAAUUCUACAUAAAUGUUAAUUAUUAUUAU